CAAUUGCCAGAUGCUGUGCCUCGACGACAACCGGCGCAAAGGCGCAGUUUAGCGCCGAAAUCUCGGACACCACCAGUCAGUCAGGCAGAAUUAUCCGCCGUAUUUCGAAUAAGGCGGCUGCGGUUGAUCCAGUUUGCUGGCAUCGCGGACGGCGCGAUUCCAAUCGCGGUGGGUGUCAAUCCAGAGCCACCCAAAAAGCCACACUGCCAAAAAGCCGCCAACCGCGGACAACAGAGCGUACCACCCCCAGUGCCCGGGGCGUUGCACGGCAAAACCUGCGAUCAAAAGCACGGUCAAGACAGCGAGGCAAAAAGCUGUGUUGCG
RNAcentral lists this unclassified non-coding RNA (324 nucleotides) under uncultured fungus. RNAcentral describes it as "sequence contains ITS1". Lineage: Eukaryota; Fungi. The record is from RNAcentral.